Dreissena polymorpha is the source of this 6237-nucleotide long non-coding RNA. RefSeq lists it as uncharacterized. NCBI's taxonomy places the organism in Eukaryota, Metazoa, Mollusca, Bivalvia, Myida, Dreissenidae. The transcript has 9 exons. The record is from RefSeq and is a predicted model, not a curated record.
UCAUCAUGAUAAUUGGUGAUAAUAUUUUUUAUCAUAAUCUCUCGUCCAAGUUUUGUUAGCAGCCAGAUCGACUUUAGCACUUUCAACAUGUUUUUGUUUAAUGAACACAAUUUGACCAAAUUAAACUUGUCUGCCAUUGCACUCACAAUCACUGUAACACAGUUUUCUAAACAGGUGUAUGUUUUUGGCAAUCUUGUUGUUCAUUUAUUUGGAUUAUGAACUGAGUGAAAAAAUGAGCCCUGUCUAAGCAUAAAUACCAUAAUAAUUUAUGCACUUGGCGUAAUUUUCUUGACAAUUUACAUAUCUUCGGUGUACUGCUUACAUUGCAAAACUGUGCAAUGCUAUGUAGAGUUUACGCCCUGUGUCUAACUUCAUGUCAAAUGGUGACUUGCCUACUUAAAAUGACCUUGUUGAGAUGAAUAGGAUAAUCUCGUGCUGAUGCAACUGUUUCACGUUGCUGCUAUUUUAUUUUACAGGAAAACAUGUCAAUUUACAAAGCACCCUUCCAUGAAAAUCUGGCCAAGCUAAUAAAUAAUGUGAAUGCAUCAACGUGACCCUUCAGAGAAACAGGAUUCCAGGCCGAAUGUCAAACCGUCUGGGCUCCAGCAGCAGCCUCAGCCGUGGGGGUCAGGUUCAUGAUGCACCUAUGCUCUCAAUGCUCUCUGAACAUCUUAAUCUCAUAGCAACAGUGGACCAACAUGACCUUCAAGUUGGGGAUGGUUGAGGGUCUCCCAAAACCACCCAGUGCCUUGCGAUGAAAACCUCCAACAGGACUGUGACCUUGCCCUUGGACUCACCUAAUGGUCAGGUUCAAGGUCACAUGGGCUUAGAUAGUCACUGCAGUAAAAAAGUGUAUGGUUUUAAAGGUACUUGUUCACAGAUUUCAUGAGUUGUUUGAUUGACCAGACUGACAUAACUAAAGCACAUUUAAAGUGGCUAUAUAUACAUAAUAUAAAAAAAACAUACAAACAUAUAACUACAAAGAAUACCAAUAUUUGCAGUAUGGUAUUGCGAAUUGCUUUUACUGCUUUUAAUACAAAAUAAUAUUAAUAAUCUCAGUUAAAAACCCAAAAGAAGGCAGUUUUUAUAAUUUUCUUUCUUAAUUUUGUAUAAAAUUACUUUAGGUUAUCCCAUAAACUGUGUUGUUGUGGUUUUAAUAAUGUUUGAAAAAUGAUAUUGAAAACUCGAUGACCAAGUUAUAUUAUAUUGUUCCAUCUGUAUUUGUAAACAAAAUGACUGCAGAACAGGACAUCACUUUGUUAAUGUAUUAACAUUUACCUUUAAAUUUGUAUUUUUUUACAAUUUUGUAUUUGUAUACAGGUGGUGCGAAUGUCAAGUGGUAACACACUGUUCUACCAAUCCAGAGGUCCCUGGUUCAAUUCCUGGCCUAGGCACUGAAAAUUUCAGAAGUGCUUCAAGUGUUUCCCACCCAUCUAGAGAUGUACUGGUAUGAAACCCAGGUAAUUCUCGCGUGUAUCGGUUCUAUACACUGAGCACGUAAAAGAACCAAGGGAUCUAUUCGCAAAGAGCUAGGGUAUCGCACCCGGAUUCCUUGUAUCUCAAUACUGUCUCUUCUGCUUGCUGUCUAUUCAGCAAAAACCAAGGACCCCAUUGGAAAUAAGUGUUUGCACUUUCAUGGGUUAUGCUUGACUGCAAGGUCAAAAGAAAUACACAUACACAUUUGUCAAAAUGACUAAACAAGGGCAUCAACAGAAACAUGUUCAUUUAAAUAUUGCUCAAUCACUGACAGUAAACGGAAAUUCUACAGAAAGAAAAAUACUUUAAAAUAUUGCUCCAUUGUUUUACUGUAAACGAAUUGACUACAGAACAGGAAUAUAUCUUUUAACAUUUCCCUUAAAAUAUUUUAUAUAAUUUUCAGUAAAGAAGACUUCACAACAUGACAUCCGAGACUGCAGGGACGAAGUGACUCACGUCAGCAGAGGAAGCCAAGACACAAUACGAGAAUUUCCAGCGGCUUACCUGCUUAAAACCUGGGUAGCGGAGCAAUGAGUAUGUCCCAGGAGCAUUUGCAGUCACAGCAAGUGAACCAGCGGCAGUCAUCGUCUCCAGAUUCCGAGAUCCCCAUGCUUCACAACCCUCAGUCUAUGAACAUCAUUUCAGAGCGAACCUUGGACAUCCAUUGACUAAAUCAAACCGGCAAAUCAGAAGGACAGCCUGUUGCUACAGUUGUUAUCAUAUUAACCCCAGUCAUACCGAAGAAGCUCAGAGAUAUUAAUGCUGUUUAAGAUGUGAUUGUCUCUACAUACCCCAUGUCUGGUGUGAACAUGUACAAUUGAAAGUCUCUACAUACCCCAUGUCUGGUGUGAACAUGUACAAUUGAAGGUCUCUACAUACCUCAUGUCUGGUGUGAACAUGUACAAUUGAAGGUCUCUACAUACUCCAUGUCUGGUGUGAACAUGUACAAUUGAAGGUCUCUACAUACCCCAUGUCUGGUGUGAACAUAUACAAUUGAAGGUCUGUACAUACUCCAUGUCUGGUGUGAACAUGUACAAUUGAAGGUCUCUACAUACCCCAUGUCUGGUGUGAACAUGUACAAUUGAAGGUCUCUACAUACCCCAUGUCUGGUGUGAACAUGUACAAUUGAAGAUCUCUACAUACCUCAUGUCUGGUGUGAACAUGUACAAUUGAAGGUCUCUACAUACCCCAUGUCUGGUGUGAACAUGUACAAUUGAAGGUCUCUACAUACUCCAUGUCUGCUGUGAACAUGUACAAUUGAAGGUCUCUACAUACCCCAUGUCUGGUGUGAACAUGUACAAUGGAAGGUCUCUAUAUACCCCAUGUCUGGUGUGAACAUGUACAAUUGAAGGUCUCUACAUACUCCAUGUCUGGUGUGAACAUGUACAAUUGAAGGUCUCUACAUACUCCAUGUCUGGUGUGAACAUGUACAAUUGAAGGUCUCUACAUACCCCAUGUCUGGUGUGAACAUAUACAAUUGAAGGUCUGUACAUACUCCAUGUCUGGUGUGAACAUGUACAAUUGAAGGUCUCUACGUAACCUAUGUCUGGUGUGAACAUGUACAAUUGAAGGUCUCUACAUACCCCAUGUCUGGUGUGAACAUGUACAAUUGAAGUAUCUAAAUACCCCGUGUCCGGUGUGAACAUGUACAAUUGAAGGUCUCAUCUUUGAAAUUGGGACAGGUGGAAAAUUAAUGAAUUGAUGCAGACAGAAGUCGCAUAAUGACAAAUCACAACAAAAAGUGGAAAUCCAGACAGUCUUGUGGCCAGCCAUGUUUUUAUGGGACCAUCCAAGUUGUGUUCAAAGAAAACAAUAGUUCAUGUUUUAUUGGUACUAUGAUGCUGAUAGUCAUUUUAUGUAAAAGGCUUUUAUGAACUAUAUUUAAAUACUCAGUAUAAUAAGAUUAAGAUUACUUGAUAAAAGCAAUAAUGAACAAUAUUAUUUUAAGAGCAAAAUUAGCAAGUCUAUCCAAUUACUGUGUCUGUAUUAUGAAAUUUUAUUUUGGAAAUGUUAAGGAAAAUAUAAUGUUACUAAAUAUAUGUCUAUGAAUGUUGAUUUUAACAUUUGUCAAAGCUGUUUAAAUGAUGCUGGUAACUUUGACAAAAUUAAAAGAAAAUGUAUUCUUUUCAUGUAAUGAGACAUGCUUUAGUUUUUUUUGGCUUAACAUGUAAUAUAGAGGUGGUAGUUACACUCAUUGUUUAGACAGGUGGAUAAUUUUAAUGCUAAGGCUUUGAUACUCUUAAGUGUGCCCAUUGGUGUCAGGUGUUUAUGUCAAGCAUCUUGUUUAUCAUCUUAGUAUUUCAAGAUAAUAUUGAUUAACUUUAGACAAAAUCAUUUAAUCUUCCUUAAAUUGUCUAUUCUGUAUUUACUACCAGUUAUUUAUUAAUUUGCUUGAACAUGAUUUAAGAAUGACUUUUUUGUUGCUUAAAAUGCUUUAUAUGUUUUACAACUGAGCAUUUAAAAACGAAAAUAUAGGAUGUGGGAAUAAUGUCUAAAGUUAUGAUAAUUAUUUUGUGUUUUUGUAAAGUUAAUUAUGCCUUAUAUGUUUGUGUAUAGACAUUAAGACGACCAGAUUAACCUGACCAAGAAUCCUUGAUCAAUGUAUAUAUCGGUCAGUUCAUUUGUCAUUUGUAUAUAGAACGAUUGCGAAAUGAUUGUAUUGUUAAUGAAAAUCAUGCGUUUAUUGUUGUCAUUUUGAUUUUUCGCUGUUAACAUGUAUUUGUACAAACAAUUUUCAUCAUGUACAUCUUUUAGAUGCCAGAUAAUAAAAACAAACAUUGCUUGUGGAGAUGCUCAUUUAAAACUUUCUUAAUGAUACAGAACAACACAUUCUGAAGAGGCUAAUAUCCUUUAGACAAUAGGAACAUCUUGUUACUAGUAUAUGUAAUGCCUUUCACUAAAUAAAGUCAAGCAACUAUCGAAAGAUUGGUUUAACUUUGUUUUGCAUUAUCUUAAGAAAAAUUAAUGUAUUCAACUUGGAAAUCGGUCAAUUUCAAAUCAAGCGAGAAUGAUGAAUAUUUGUACGCAAGAUAAGGGAUGUUUUUGCUUGGAAAAAAGUGGUAUCCCUUGUAAGAUAAUGAUUCUGUUCAUCUCUCAACAUAAGAAGUGGCUUAAUAAAGCUUUUAAAAAUAUGACACACUUAAUACUCAGCCAUCUGUUUGUAUUGGGGUUUUGUGGAAUACUUACUUAACUAAUAUACGUCUGUUCAAUGAAUUAAUAGUUAUGGUACAAUAUGAUACUCAUUGUUAAAAAACAUGUGUAAUAAAAAUAUAAUGGCAUUUAUUUGAAAUCAUAAAAUUUAGUUUUCCAUACAAUGCUUACAGUUUUGCAAUUGCGACGAUAAAGUAAAUGUUCUGCUCAAAAUGUCUGUUAAAGACAUGUGUAUAUUGUAGCAAUUAUAUUGUACUUGUAUUUAUAUUUAACAUGAUAUUAAUUGAUUUAUGGCUGAUGAUAGCGGCAGUUUACUAGUUGUGUAACAGUUUGUUUCACUCGAUCAUCAGACCAUAUUUCCUUAAAAAUGUGAUUGUUCAUAAUGAACUGUAAUUGAAUGCAUGAAACAUUGUUGUUCUGUUGCUUAACAGCUGAAAAUAGCUUGAUGUUUGUUAAUUGUAUGAAAUGUUUCAAAUGAAUCAUAUUGAUACAUAGAAAAUAAAAUUACAUUAUUCGUUAAUUUGAAUGCAUAUCAAAAGAUUGUUACCAUACAAGCAUAUUUGUGUUGAACUUAAUUGAUACUUUGAGAUGCAAUUUUUACAAUAAUGUAUAAAUAUUUUCAUCUAUUCCAAAUGAACAUUUUGCAUUCGUUAAUAUAGGGUUUAUAUAUACUUUAUAAAAACUUAUUAAAUGCUUUAUAUAAAUUGAUUGUGUACCUCAUAUUGAUUAAAGACUCUUAUUUAUUGCACAGUUGUGUGUGCAUAUGUCUGACUUAUGUCUAUAUAGUCCUUAAAGUUAAAUUACUGCAAAUAGUAUUUUAAUAAUGUUAAAAUAUUUAUCUAAACUAUAACCAGGUUAUCUGUUAAAUUAAGUUUCAUACAUUUGCAUCGUCUAGCUAAUUGAAGUGUUUAUAUUCUCGCCUACAUGCAGUGUAUGGUUUAGACAAAGCACAUUACACAACUCAUGUUGUUUUAUCCAUCAUUAUUAACCAGUGUUUAGUCCGUAGAAGUUAACGUAUACUAAAUAUUUCGGUUGUGCAAUGCUUUGCUCUCUAAAUAAAUCAACACCAUUUAUUGAUUUUCUAUGUGGGCACUUGAAUUCCCAUGACUUUAUUUGUGAAUAUUUCUUUGAAUGUGCGGUAGGGAAAACAUUGUUUGCUUGAAGGUUUAGAAACUUAAUGUUGGCAUCUUGAAAGAUGGCAGAAAACAUUUUACUGCAGAGUAGCUGUGAAAAGAUGUAUGUUGAACAAUGUAAGACAGAACUGCACGCAAGAUAUGUCAUGCAUUCGAUAUGCAUGAACUAUCUUUUUUAAUUAAUUUGGAUAGGAAUUAUCUUUUAGAAAUGGUAUGGUUAUAAGGGUCCCUAGUGCAAAAUGUUGCAUUUAUUUUGUGUACAAGAUAUUGCUUAAACAUUGAAUUUGUUAUGGAAAUAAUAUAGUUUAUGUGACUUAAAGAGAUAUACAUGUUUAUGUCAGUGAUGUGUUUUGCUGAUCCAAGUCUGUUCCUGCACACUAUUUAAAGUAGAUAACUACAAGUUAUCUCAUUUACUAGUAAAUGGGAAUAGUAUUGUACUGUGAAAAAGUGUUGCGAGUUCAAAUAAAAAUACUAUGAA